CAGCAUUCCACAAGAGAGCUAUAGAUUGAUUUUGCACAAAAACGAAAACAAAAGACUCAUAAAUAGCGAUCACACAUAUAUCGUGUGUGACAAUGAGAUUAGACAAAAAAUACCUCCAACUAUCAUAAUACGCUUAUAUAGUGCAUGGAUUCCAGCAUUUACAGAAUGUAGCUAACCCUUACAUUCUAAGGCAUAUGGAUCAGGAAAAAUUGGUACUGCAUCAUGAAGACAAAGAAGACCCCACAAACAUUGCUACAGCACGUGCAGUCUAAAAAGAAGCUUGAGAUGAUGGUAAUCAUAUAUGCAGACACCUCAAGUUCCCCUAAAAUGCAA
Molecule: long non-coding RNA, 333 nt
Organism: Juglans microcarpa x Juglans regia
Lineage: Eukaryota; Viridiplantae; Streptophyta; Magnoliopsida; Fagales; Juglandaceae
Exons: 2
Source: RefSeq, a predicted model, not a curated record